AUUGAACGCUGGCGGCAUGCCUAACACAUGCAAGUCGAGCGAGCGGCGGACGGGUGAGUAAUGUAUGGGGCCUGCCCGCUAGAGGGGGAUAACUACUGGAAACGGUAUCUAAUACCGCCUACUCUCGGAUAACCCCUCGGGGAUUGGCUAGUAGGUGAGGUAAUGGCCCACCUCGGCGACGAUCCCUAGCUGGUCUGAGAGGAUGAUCAGCCAAACUGGGACUGGGACACGGCCCAGAGGCCUGCGGAGGCAGCAGUGGGGAAUAUGGGACAAUGGGGGAGAGCCUGGUGCAGCCAGGCCGAGGGUAAGAAGAAGGCCCUAGGGUUGGAAAGUACGUUCUGUCGGGAUGCGUUACCGACAGAAGAAGCACCGGCUAACUCCGUGCCAGCAGCCGCGGUAAUAC
Molecule: ribosomal RNA, 403 nt
Filed under: uncultured bacterium
Lineage: Bacteria
Description: partial 16S ribosomal RNA
Rfam family: Bacterial small subunit ribosomal RNA
Source: RNAcentral